RNAcentral lists this ribosomal RNA (465 nucleotides) under Vreelandella stevensii. Its description in RNAcentral is "partial 16S ribosomal RNA". It matches the Rfam family "Bacterial small subunit ribosomal RNA", at positions 338 to 795 of the family's 1533-position model. The record is from RNAcentral. Lineage: Bacteria; Pseudomonadati; Pseudomonadota; Gammaproteobacteria; Oceanospirillales; Halomonadaceae.
CCUACGGGUGGCAGCAGUGGGGAAUAUUGGACAAUGGGCGAAAGCCUGAUCCAGCCAUGCCGCGUGUGUGAAGAAGGCCUUCGGGUUGUAAAGCACUUUCAGUGGGGAAGAAAGCCUUGGGGCUAAUACCCUCGAGGAAGGACAUCACCCACAGAAGAAGCACCGGCUAACUCCGUGCCAGCAGCCGCGGUAAUACGGAGGGUGCGAGCGUUAAUCGGAAUUACUGGGCGUAAAGCGCACGUAGGCGGUCUGAUAAGCCGGUUGUGAAAGCCCCGGGCUCAACCUGGGAACGGCAUCCGGAACUGUCAGGCUAGAGUGCUGGAGAGGAAGGUAGAAUUCCCGGUGUAGCGGUGAAAUGCGUAGAGAUCGGGAGGAAUACCAGUGGCGAAGGCGGCCUCCUGGACUGACACUGACGCUGAGGUGCGAAAGCGUGGGUAGCAAACAGGAUUAGAUACCCCAGUAGUC